UGGGGAAUAUUGGACAAUGGGGGAAACCCUGAUCCAGCGACGCCGCGUGUGUGAAGAAGGCCUGCGGGUUGUAAAGCACUUUUAGUGGGGAUGAAAUGUGCAGGGCUAACACCUCUGCAUUUUGACCUAACCCACAGAAAAAGCACCGGCUAACUCUGUGCCAGCAGCCGCGGUAAUACAGAGGGUGCAAGCGUUAAUCGGAAUUACUGGGCGUAAAGCGUGCGUAAACGGUUACAUAAGUCGGGUGUGAAAGCCCCGGGCUCAACCUGGGAAUUGCAUUCGAGACUGCGUAGCUAGGGUGCGGAAGAGGGAAGCGGAAUUUCCGGUGUAGCGGUGAAAUGCGUAGAUAUCGGAAGGAACACCAGUGGCGAAAGCGGCUUCCUGGUCCAGCACCGACGUUCAGGCACGAAAGCGUGGGGAGCAAACA
This 427-nucleotide ribosomal RNA is filed under the name uncultured Gammaproteobacteria bacterium. RNAcentral's name for it is "bacterial SSU rRNA". It matches the Rfam family "Bacterial small subunit ribosomal RNA", at positions 355 to 774 of the family's 1533-position model. The record is from RNAcentral. Lineage: Bacteria; Pseudomonadati; Pseudomonadota; Gammaproteobacteria.